This 467-nucleotide ribosomal RNA is filed under the name uncultured bacterium. Its description in RNAcentral is "partial 16S ribosomal RNA". It matches the Rfam family "Bacterial small subunit ribosomal RNA", at positions 28 to 507 of the family's 1533-position model. The record is from RNAcentral.
GGUGAACGCUGGCGGCGUGCCUAAGACAUGCAAGUCGAGCGGGGCAGGUUUAUACCUGUUCAGCGGCGGACGGGCGAGUAACGCGUGGGUGACCUACCCGGAAGAGGCGGACAACCUGGGGAAACCCAGGCUAAUCCGCCAUGUGGUCCUGUCCUCUGGGGCAGGACUAAAGGGGCGACCCGCUUCCGGAUGGGCCCGCGUCCCAUCAGCUAGUUGGUGGGGUGAGGGCCCACCAAGGCGACGACGGUUAGCCGGUCUGGGGGGAUGGCCGGGCAAAGGGGCACUGGGGCACGGGGCCAACGCCUAGGGGAGGCAGGAGUGAAGAAGCUGCCGAAAUGGACGGAAGGCUGGCGGCGCGACGCCGCUUGGAGGAGGAAGGCAUGCGGGGUGUAAAGUCCUGAACUGGGGACGAAAGCCCCGUGUAGGGGGAUGACGGUACCCAGGUAAUAGCGCCGGCCAACUACGUG